UCCUACGGGGGGCAGCAGUGAGGAAUAUUGGUCAAUGGGCGGGAGCCUGAACCGGCCAAGUCGCGUGAGGGAAGACGGUCCUAUGGAUUGUAAACCUCUUUAGGCGGGGAGCAAUGCCGGGCACGCGUGCCCGGAGGGAGAGUACCCGCAGAAUAAGCAUCGGCUAACUCCGUGCCAGCAGCCGCGGUAAUACGGAGGAUGCGAGCGUUAUCCGGAUUUAUUGGGUUUAAAGGGUGCGUAGGCGGAUUUUUAAGUCAGCGGUAAAAUGUCCGGGCUCAACCAGGGCCGGCCGUUGAAACUGGGGG
RNAcentral lists this ribosomal RNA (305 nucleotides) under uncultured bacterium. RNAcentral describes it as "bacterial SSU rRNA". It matches the Rfam family "Bacterial small subunit ribosomal RNA", at positions 337 to 639 of the family's 1533-position model. The record is from RNAcentral.